This 262-nucleotide ribosomal RNA is filed under the name uncultured bacterium. RNAcentral's name for it is "partial 16S ribosomal RNA". It matches the Rfam family "Bacterial small subunit ribosomal RNA", at positions 524 to 784 of the family's 1533-position model. The record is from RNAcentral.
UACGGAGGGUGCAAGCGUUAUCCGGAUUUAUUGGGUUUAAAGGGUCCGUAGGCGGACUCGUAAGUCAGUGGUGAAAUCUCAUAGCUUAACUAUGAAACUGCCAUUGAUACUGCGGGUCUUGAGUAAAGUAGAAGUGGGCUGGAAUAAGUAGUGUAGCGGUGAAAUGCAUAGAUAUUACUUAGAACACCAAUUGCGAAGGCAGGUCACUAUGUUUUAACUGACGCUGAUGGACGAAAGCGUGGGGAGCGAACAGGAUUAGAAA